Molecule: non-coding RNA, 69 nt
Organism: Cordylochernes scorpioides
Lineage: Eukaryota; Metazoa; Arthropoda; Arachnida; Pseudoscorpiones; Chernetidae
Source: the annotation of a GenBank genome assembly
UGUAUCGGACGGAACGAACCCGGGCCGCCCGCGUGGCAAGCGAGCAUUCUACCACUGUACCACCGAUGC